Molecule: ribosomal RNA, 439 nt
Filed under: uncultured bacterium
Lineage: Bacteria
Description: partial 16S ribosomal RNA
Rfam family: Bacterial small subunit ribosomal RNA
Source: RNAcentral
CUACGGGACGCUCCAGUGGGGAAUCUUAGACAAUGGGCGCAAGCCUGAUCUAGCCAUGCCGCGUGAGUGACGAAGGCCUUAGGGUCGUAAAGCUCUUUCGCUGGGGAAGAUAAUGACGGUACCCAGUAAAGAAACCCCGGCUAACUCCGUGCCAGCAGCCGCGGUAAUACGGAGGGGGUUAGCGUUGUUCGGAAUUACUGGGCGUAAAGCGCGCGUAGGCGGAUCAGAAAGUUGGGGGUGAAAUCCCGGGGCUCAACUCCGGAACUGCCUUCAAAACUCCUGGUCUUGAGUUCGAGAGAGGUGAGUGGAAUUCCGAGUGUAGAGGUGAAAUUCGUAGAUAUUCGGAGGAACACCAGUGGCGAAGGCGGCUCACUGGCUCGAUACUGACGCUGAGGUGCGAAAGCGUGGGGAGCAAACAGGAUUAGAUACCCCCGUAGUC